Molecule: non-coding RNA, 901 nt
Organism: Thamnophis sirtalis
Lineage: Eukaryota; Metazoa; Chordata; Lepidosauria; Squamata; Natricidae
Source: RefSeq, a predicted model, not a curated record
UGGAUGUGUGGAAGGAAAGGAGGAGGAGAAGGCGGCGAAGGAGAAGGGGGCGCCCGUCCGCUGCCCCAGCGAGCAAGGGGGUUGGAAAAAAAAAACGCAAAGAGAAAGAAGCUCGAGCUAUCAUGAGCCAGCCAAGCAAGCGCUAAGCAGGGUCCGCGGCCGGAGGAUCGGAAGCACUUUUAUCUUCCAAGCGCGGAUGGAACGUUGAAGAGGCCACAUCAAAAGCUCCUGGCGGGGGGCAAAACACCCGAUCGAACGUUGGGACAAACAUUCGAUCGAACGUCGGCGCGGCCGAACUCGCAGCCCGAGGGGCGCAGGCAGACUGAACCUUCAGGGGGGGAGCGCCUUUCCCCGUCCUCUCUUAAUUUAUUUUCCCACUCUCGCUUUUUUUUUCCUUCUCCUUUCUUUUUCUUUUUCCUUUCUUUUUUCCUUCCUUCCUUUCUUUUUUUAAAAAGAAGCCUCCCUCCCUAGUUUUUACUACACUGUAGCCAUUUCCGUUUGCUUGGACAUUGUUAAAGCUGCCUCCACCGUCUCCGUCGCCGCCGGGAGAACAAUAGGAAGGCAGGAGGGGCGACCGGGGCGCCCACCCCGGCUGCGCCCCGGGAAUCUUCAGCCAUACUUGUGGAUGUAACCCUCCCCCACCACAAAGCCGAGCAGACAGACACCAUUUCAAUCGGUGGGAAUAUGAACCAGCAACAAAGAAUGGCUGCAGCAGGGACCGACAAGGAAUUAAGCGAUCUCCUAGAUUUCAGUAUGAUGUUUCCCUUGCCAGUGACUAAUGGAAAAAACAGACCCACGACUCUUGGUAGCACGCAGUUUGGUGGAUCAGGUUUGGAUGAGCGACCGACUUCAGGUUCUUGGGCAACAGGAGAUCAGAACAACUCCACGUUUGACCAAGUCA